This 460-nucleotide ribosomal RNA is filed under the name uncultured bacterium. RNAcentral's name for it is "partial 16S ribosomal RNA". It matches the Rfam family "Bacterial small subunit ribosomal RNA", at positions 338 to 795 of the family's 1533-position model. The record is from RNAcentral.
CCUACGGGAGGCAGCAGUGAGGAAUAUUGGUCAAUGGCCGGAAGGCUGAACCAGCCAUGCCGCGUGAAGGUCAGUGCCCUAUGGGCGUUAAACUUCUUUUGUGCGGGAGCAAUAAUGGUCACGUGUGGCCAGACGAGAGUACCGUACCAAUAAGCAUCGGCUAAAUCCGUGCCAGCAGCCGCGGUAAUACGGGGGAUGCAAGCGUUAUCCGGAUUUAUGGGGUUUAAAGGGGGCGUAGGCUGUGAGGUAAGUCAGAGGUGAAAUGCCGCCGCUCAACGGGGUGAAGUGCCAUUGAUACUGCCUUGCUGGAAUGCGGAUGCGGUGGGAGGAAUGUGUGGUGUAGCGGUGAAAUGCAUAGAUAUCACACAGAACACCGAUUGCGAGGGCAUCUCACGAAUCCGCGAUUGACGCUGAGGCACGAAAGCGUGGGUAUCAAACAGGAUGAGAUACCCUUGUAGUC